GCCAACGAUCAUACCACGUUGAAUACACCAGUUCCCGUUAGAUCAUUGAAGUUAAGCAACGUCGGGCGUGGUCAGUACUUGGAUGGGUGGCCACUUGGGAACACCACGUAUCGUUGGCUCAU
RNAcentral lists this ribosomal RNA (122 nucleotides) under Pachypsylla venusta (hackberry petiole gall psyllid). Lineage: Eukaryota; Metazoa; Arthropoda; Insecta; Hemiptera; Aphalaridae. The record is from RNAcentral.